CCUACGGGAGGCAGCAGUGGGGAAUCUUGCGCAAUGGGCGAAAGCCUGACGCAGCAACGCCGCGUGCGGGAUGAAGGCCUUCGGGCUGUAAACCGCUUUCAGCAGGGAAGAAAUUGACGGUACCUGCAGAAGAAGCCCCGGCCAACUACGUGCCAGCAGCCGCGGUAACACGUAGGGGGCGAGCGUUGUCCGGAUUUAUUGGGCGUAAAGAGCUCGUAGGCGGUUCGGUAAGUCGGGUGUGAAACCUCCAGGCUCAACCUGGAGACGCCACCUGAUACUGUUGUGACUAGAGUCCGGUAGGGGAGUGUGGAACUCCUGGUGUAGCGGUGAAAUGCGCAGAUAUCAGGAAGAACACCAGCGGCGAAGGCGGCACUCUGGGCCGGUACUGACGCUGAGGAGCGAAAGCGUGGGUAGCAAACAGGAUUAGAUACCCUGGUAGUCCACGCCGUAAACGUUGGGCACUAGGUGUGGGUCUCAACCAACGAGAUCCGUGCCGCAGCACGCAUAAGUAGCCCGCCGNGGGAGACGGCGCAGACUAAACUAAUAGAUGACG
RNAcentral lists this ribosomal RNA (553 nucleotides) under uncultured bacterium. RNAcentral describes it as "bacterial SSU rRNA". It matches the Rfam family "Bacterial small subunit ribosomal RNA", at positions 338 to 873 of the family's 1533-position model. The record is from RNAcentral.